RNAcentral lists this ribosomal RNA (1500 nucleotides) under Bifidobacterium pseudocatenulatum. Its description in RNAcentral is "bacterial SSU rRNA". It matches the Rfam family "Bacterial small subunit ribosomal RNA". Lineage: Bacteria; Bacillati; Actinomycetota; Actinomycetes; Bifidobacteriales; Bifidobacteriaceae. RNAcentral also lists the same sequence under 8 other names. The record is from RNAcentral.
AUUCUGGCUCAGGAUGAACGCUGGCGGCGUGCUUAACACAUGCAAGUCGAACGGGAUCCAUCAGGCUUUGCUUGGUGGUGAGAGUGGCGAACGGGUGAGUAAUGCGUGACCGACCUGCCCCAUACACCGGAAUAGCUCCUGGAAACGGGUGGUAAUGCCGGAUGCUCCGACUCCUCGCAUGGGGUGUCGGGAAAGAUUUCAUCGGUAUGGGAUGGGGUCGCGUCCUAUCAGGUAGUCGGCGGGGUAACGGCCCACCGAGCCUACGACGGGUAGCCGGCCUGAGAGGGCGACCGGCCACAUUGGGACUGAGAUACGGCCCAGACUCCUACGGGAGGCAGCAGUGGGGAAUAUUGCACAAUGGGCGCAAGCCUGAUGCAGCGACGCCGCGUGCGGGAUGACGGCCUUCGGGUUGUAAACCGCUUUUGAUCGGGAGCAAGCCUUCGGGUGAGUGUACCUUUCGAAUAAGCACCGGCUAACUACGUGCCAGCAGCCGCGGUAAUACGUAGGGUGCAAGCGUUAUCCGGAAUUAUUGGGCGUAAAGGGCUCGUAGGCGGUUCGUCGCGUCCGGUGUGAAAGUCCAUCGCUUAACGGUGGAUCUGCGCCGGGUACGGGCGGGCUGGAGUGCGGUAGGGGAGACUGGAAUUCCCGGUGUAACGGUGGAAUGUGUAGAUAUCGGGAAGAACACCAAUGGCGAAGGCAGGUCUCUGGGCCGUUACUGACGCUGAGGAGCGAAAGCGUGGGGAGCGAACAGGAUUAGAUACCCUGGUAGUCCACGCCGUAAACGGUGGAUGCUGGAUGUGGGGCCCGUUCCACGGGUUCCGUGUCGGAGCUAACGCGUUAAGCAUCCCGCCUGGGGAGUACGGCCGCAAGGCUAAAACUCAAAGAAAUUGACGGGGGCCCGCACAAGCGGCGGAGCAUGCGGAUUAAUUCGAUGCAACGCGAAGAACCUUACCUGGGCUUGACAUGUUCCCGACAGCCGUAGAGAUAUGGCCUCCCUUCGGGGCGGGUUCACAGGUGGUGCAUGGUCGUCGUCAGCUCGUGUCGUGAGAUGUUGGGUUAAGUCCCGCAACGAGCGCAACCCUCGCCCUGUGUUGCCAGCACGUCAUGGUGGGAACUCACGGGGGACCGCCGGGGUCAACUCGGAGGAAGGUGGGGAUGACGUCAGAUCAUCAUGCCCCUUACGUCCAGGGCUUCACGCAUGCUACAAUGGCCGGUACAACGGGAUGCGACACGGCGACGUGGAGCGGAUCCCUGAAAACCGGUCUCAGUUCGGAUUGGAGUCUGCAACCCGACUCCAUGAAGGCGGAGUCGCUAGUAAUCGCGGAUCAGCAACGCCGCGGUGAAUGCGUUCCCGGGCCUUGUACACACCGCCCGUCAAGUCAUGAAAGUGGGUAGCACCCGAAGCCGGUGGCCUAACCCUUUGUGGAUGGAGCCGUCUAAGGUGAGACUCGUGAUUGGGACUAAGUCGUAACAAGGUAGCCGUACCGGAAGGUGCGGCUG